RNAcentral lists this ribosomal RNA (515 nucleotides) under uncultured bacterium. RNAcentral's name for it is "partial 16S ribosomal RNA". It matches the Rfam family "Bacterial small subunit ribosomal RNA", at positions 28 to 523 of the family's 1533-position model. The record is from RNAcentral.
GAUGAACGCUGGCGGCGUGCCUAAUACAUGCAAGUCGAGCGAAUGGAUUAAGAGCUUGCUCUUAUGAAGUUAGCGGCGGACGGGUGAGUAACACGUGGGUAACCUGCCCAUAAGACUGGGAUAACUCCGGGAAACCGGGGCUAAUACCGGAUAACAUUUUGAACCGCAUGGUUCGAAUUUGAAAGGCGGCUUCGGCUGUCACUUAUGCAGUGACCCGCGUCGGAUUAGCUAGUUGGUGAGGUAACGGCUCACCAAGGCAACGAUGCGUAGCCGACCUGAGAGGGUGAUCGGCCACACUGGGACUGAGACACGGCCCAGACUCCUACGGGAGGCAGCAGUAGGGAAUCUUCCGCAAUGGACGAAAGUCUGACGGAGCAACGCCGCGUGAGUGAUGAAGGCUUUCGGGUCGUAAAACUCUGUUGUUAGGGAAGAACAAGUGCUAGUUGAAUAAGCUGGCACCUUGACGGUACCUAACCAGAAAGCCACGGCUAACUACGUGCCAGCCGCCGCGGUAA